GGCUGUGUAGCUCAGUGAGGAGAGCAUCUGCCUCACAAGCAGAGGGUUCAAUCCCCCCGGAAUCU
Non-coding RNA from Podarcis lilfordi (Lilford's wall lizard), 65 nucleotides. NCBI's taxonomy places the organism in Eukaryota, Metazoa, Chordata, Lepidosauria, Squamata, Lacertidae. The record is from the annotation of a GenBank genome assembly.